Molecule: ribosomal RNA, 601 nt
Filed under: uncultured bacterium
Lineage: Bacteria
Description: bacterial SSU rRNA
Rfam family: Bacterial small subunit ribosomal RNA
Source: RNAcentral
CCUACGGGAGGCAGCAGUGGGGAAUAUUGGACAAUGGGGCGAAAGCCUGAUCCAGCAAUGCCGCGUGAGUGAAGAAGGCCUUCGGGUUGUAAAGCUCUUUUUACCCCGGGGAAGAUAAUGACUGUACCGGGAGAAUAAGCUCCGGCUAACUCCGUGCCAGCAGCCGCGGUAAUACGGAGGGAGCUAGCGUUGUUCGGAAUUACUGGGCGUAAAGCGUACGUAGGCGGCUUGGUAAGUCAGAGGUGAAAGCCCACGACUCAAUCGUGGAACUGCCUUUGAGACUGCUUCGCUUGAAGAUGGGAGAGGUUAGUGGAAUUCCGAGUGUAGAGGUGAAAUUCGUAGAUAUUCGGAAGAACACCAGUGGCGAAGGCGGCUAACUGGACCAUUCUUGACGCUGAGGUACGAAAGCGUGGGGAGCAAACAGGAUUAGAUACCCUGGUAGUCCACGCCGUAAACGAUGAUAACUAGCUGUCGGGGCUCUUGGAGCUUCGGUGGCGCAGCUAACGCAUUAAGUUAUCCGCCUGGGGAGUACGGCCGCGAAGGUUAAAACUCAAAGUGAAUUGGACGGCUGGUAGACGUUGCGAGACGACGACGAGGAGAG